UAGGGAAUUUUCGGCAAUGGGGGAAACCCUGACCGAGCGACGCCGCGUGAGUGAAGAAGGCCUUCGGGUUGUAAAGCUCUGUUGUAAGGGAAGAACUGUAUGAGGAGGGAAUGCCUCAUACCUGACGGUACCUUACCAGAAAGCCACGGCUAACUACGUGCCAGCAGCCGCGGUAAUACGUAGGUGGCAAGCGUUAUCCGGAAUUAUUGGGCGUAAAGGGAUCGUAGGCGGUUUAUUAAGUUUGUGGUUAAAGUUCGGGGCUCAACCCCGUGAUGCCAUAGAAACUGGUAGACUUGAGUGCAGAAGAGGUUAGUGGAAUUCCAUGUGUAGCGGUAAAAUGCGUAGAUAUAUGGAGGAACACCAGUGGCGAAGGCGACUAACUGGUCUGUAACUGACGCUGAGGAUCGAAAGCGUGGGGAGCAAAUA
This 426-nucleotide ribosomal RNA is filed under the name uncultured Bacillota bacterium. RNAcentral's name for it is "bacterial SSU rRNA". It matches the Rfam family "Bacterial small subunit ribosomal RNA", at positions 355 to 774 of the family's 1533-position model. Lineage: Bacteria; Bacillati; Bacillota. The record is from RNAcentral.